UCCGAGUCUUGUGAUGUUGUGAGUGCGGU
Molecule: small RNA, 29 nt
Filed under: Bombyx mori (domestic silkworm)
Lineage: Eukaryota; Metazoa; Arthropoda; Insecta; Lepidoptera; Bombycidae
Description: ovarian small RNA-27478
Source: RNAcentral